UUCGUAGGCGGUGCGGCAAGUCGGGAGUGAAAUCUCUGGGCUUAACUCAGAGGCUGCUUUCGAAACUGCCGUGCUCGAGUGCGAGAGAGGUCAGUGGAAUUGCAGGUGUAGCGGUGAAAUGCGUAGAUAUCUGCAGGAACACCCGUGGCGAAGGCGGCUGACUGGAUCGCAACUGACGCUGAGGAACGAAAGCUAGGGGAGCAAACAGGAUUAGAUACCCUGGUAGUCCUAGCCCUAAACCAUCAGGACUUGGGGUGGCCCGCGUAGGCGGGUCGUCCCGUAGCUAACGCGUUAAGUCCUGCGCCUGGGGAGUACGGUCGCAAGACUGAA
RNAcentral lists this ribosomal RNA (330 nucleotides) under uncultured bacterium. Its description in RNAcentral is "bacterial SSU rRNA". It matches the Rfam family "Bacterial small subunit ribosomal RNA", at positions 568 to 898 of the family's 1533-position model. The record is from RNAcentral.